GAUAGGAACGUCUACCGCAUGGUGGAUGUUGGAAAGAAUUUCGGUCAUGGAUGGACUCGCGGCCUAUCAGCUUGUUGGUGAGGUAAUGGCUCACCAAGGCGACGACGGGUAGCCGGCCUGAGAGGGUGACCGGCCACACUGGGACUGAGACACGGCCCAGACUCCUACGGGAGGCAGCAGUGGGGAAUAUUGCACAAUGGGCGAAAGCCUGAUGCAGCGACGCCGCGUGAGGGAUGACGGCCUUCGGGUUGUAAACCUCUUUCAGUAGGGAAGAAGCGAAAGUGACGGUACCUGCAGAAGAAGCACCGGCUAACUACGUGCCAGCAGCCGCGGUAAUACGUAGGGUGCGAGCGUUAUCCGGAAUUAUUGGGCGUAAAGAGCUCGUAGGCGGUUUGUCGCGUCUGUCGUGAAAGUCCGGGGCUUAACCCCGGAUCUGCGGUGGGUACGGGCAGACUAGAGUGCAGUAGGGGAGACUGGAAUUCCUGGUGUAGCGGUGGAAUGCGCAGAUAUCAGGAGGAACACCGAUGGCGAAGGCAGGUCUCUGGGCUGUAACUGACGCUGAGGAGCGAAAGCAUGG
This 577-nucleotide ribosomal RNA is filed under the name Micrococcus sp. WH009143s. RNAcentral describes it as "bacterial SSU rRNA". It matches the Rfam family "Bacterial small subunit ribosomal RNA", at positions 172 to 764 of the family's 1533-position model. Lineage: Bacteria; Bacillati; Actinomycetota; Actinomycetes; Micrococcales; Micrococcaceae. The record is from RNAcentral.